Molecule: transfer RNA, 76 nt
Filed under: Gemmatimonadota bacterium
Lineage: Bacteria; Pseudomonadati; Gemmatimonadota
Also listed under: 1 other name
Description: Gemmatimonadetes bacterium tRNA-Thr
Rfam family: tRNA
About the family: Transfer RNA (tRNA) molecules are approximately 80 nucleotides in length.
Source: RNAcentral
GCCGAUGUAGCUCAGAUGGUAGAGCGCAUCCUUGGUAAGGAUGAGGUCACCAGUUCAAUCCUGGUCAUCGGCUCCA